GACGAACGCUGGCGGCGUGCUUAACACAUGCAAGUCGAACGGAAAGGCCCUGCUUGCAGGGUACUCGAGUGGCGAACGGGUGAGUAACACGUGGGUGAUCUGCCCUGCACUUCGGGAUAAGCCUGGGAAACUGGGUCUAAUACCGGAUAGGAGCCAUUUUUAGUGUGAUGGUUGGAAAGUUUUUUCGGUGUAGGAUGAGCUCGCGGCCUAUCAGCUUGUUGGUGGGGUAAUGGCCUACCAAGGCGGCGACGGGUAGCCGGCCUGAGAGGGUGGACGGCCACAUUGGGACUGAGAUGCGGCCCAGACUCCUACGGGAGGCAGCAGUGGGGAAUAUUGCACAAUGGGCGCAAGCCUGAUGCAGCGACGCCGCGUGGGGGAUGACGGCCUUCGGGUUGUAAACUCCUUUCGCUAGGGACGAAGCUUUUUGUGACGGUACCUAGAUAAGAAGCACCGGCUAACUACGUG
RNAcentral lists this ribosomal RNA (465 nucleotides) under uncultured bacterium. Its description in RNAcentral is "partial 16S ribosomal RNA". It matches the Rfam family "Bacterial small subunit ribosomal RNA", at positions 28 to 507 of the family's 1533-position model. The record is from RNAcentral.